Molecule: ribosomal RNA, 345 nt
Filed under: Triticum aestivum (bread wheat)
Lineage: Eukaryota; Viridiplantae; Streptophyta; Magnoliopsida; Poales; Poaceae
Description: partial small subunit ribosomal RNA
Source: RNAcentral
AUGUUUGCGGCUCAAUCCAGAUCACGUGCAGACAAUUGCCGUGCUGCCCUUUCCAAUGCCCAAAAGGGCUCCCAAUCUGCCGCAGCCUACUUUGGUCAGAUGCGAGCGCUUGCAAACGAACUUGCCAUUGCUGGAAAGCCGCUUCUUGAGGGGGAGUUAAUCUCUUUUCUCAUCUCUGGCCUCAAUAUGGACUAUCAACCUCUUAUAUCCGCAUUAGAUGUCUGCACCGAGCCUCUCUCCGUUGAUGAUCUGUUCGGCAUGGUGUCGAACUUUGAUCAAAGGGUGGAGAUGUUCCACGGCUCUGGAUCGGGUGCCUUCAAAACAUCCGCCAACGCCGCCUCUUGA